RNAcentral lists this ribosomal RNA (681 nucleotides) under Tanqua sp. ALS-2019. Its description in RNAcentral is "SSU rRNA". It matches the Rfam family "Eukaryotic small subunit ribosomal RNA", at positions 1069 to 1770 of the family's 1831-position model. The record is from RNAcentral. Lineage: Eukaryota; Metazoa; Nematoda; Chromadorea; Rhabditida; Gnathostomatidae.
UUACGCCUUGACGGGCAGCUCCCCGGAAACGAAAGUCUUCCGGUUCCGGGGGAAGUAUGGUUGCAAAGCUGAAACUUAAAGAAAUUGACGGAAGGGCACCACCAGGAGUGGAGCCUGCGGCUUAAUUUGACUCAACACGGGAAAACUCACCUGGCCAGGACACCGUGAGGACUGACAGAUUGAGAGCUCUUUCUUGAUUCGGUGGUUGGUGGUGCAUGGCCGUUCUUAGUUGGUGGAGUGAUUUGUCUGGUUUAUUCCGAUAACGAGCGAGACUCUAGCCUAUUAAAUAGUUAUCGGAUAAAUGUGUUCGAAAGACUUCUUAGAGGGACAAGCGGUGCUCAGCCGCACGAAAUUGAGCAAUAACAGGUCUGUGAUGCCCUUAGAUGUCCAGGGCUGCACGCGCGCUACACUGGAGAAAUCAGCGUGCCGUAACCAUUGUCGACAGGCAUUGGUAACCAAUUGAAAUUUUUCCGUGAUCGGGAUCGGUAAUUGCAAUUAUUUGCCUUGAACGAGGAAUUCCCAGUAAGUGUGAGUCAUCAGCUCGCGUUGAUUACGUCCCUGCCCUUUGUACACACCGCCCGUCGCUGCCCGGGACUGAGCCGUUUCGAGAAAAGCGGGGACUGCUGUUUCGAAGCCCUUCGGGGUGGAGAUUCUUCGGCGGGAACCGCUUUAAUCGCAGUG